UGAAAUCUUCGAUAAUAUUGGUUCUGACUCGUCUUUACAUAAUCUUCGCAGUGUCUCUGGUUAGACCGAACUCUUCAGAGAUAAAAGAGUUCGAAGACUUUUUGGCAGGGAAGAUUACGGAUGCAAGUGAAGAGCCUCCGACUGAAGAAUCUCCCCGAGCCGAUCCCAUCAUUACCGAUCCACCCACUGUUUUUCCUCAG
RNAcentral lists this long non-coding RNA (200 nucleotides) under Panax ginseng (ginseng). RNAcentral's name for it is "long non-coding RNA (PGIN_LNC004270)". Lineage: Eukaryota; Viridiplantae; Streptophyta; Magnoliopsida; Apiales; Araliaceae. The record is from RNAcentral.